RNAcentral lists this microRNA (22 nucleotides) under Pteropus alecto (black flying fox). Its description in RNAcentral is "pal-miR-9992-3p". The record is from miRBase by way of RNAcentral. Lineage: Eukaryota; Metazoa; Chordata; Mammalia; Chiroptera; Pteropodidae.
GCAGGUCAUGCCGGGUAGUCAC